This 431-nucleotide ribosomal RNA is filed under the name uncultured Paracoccaceae bacterium. RNAcentral's name for it is "bacterial SSU rRNA". It matches the Rfam family "Bacterial small subunit ribosomal RNA", at positions 29 to 505 of the family's 1533-position model. The record is from RNAcentral. Lineage: Bacteria; Pseudomonadati; Pseudomonadota; Alphaproteobacteria; Rhodobacterales; Paracoccaceae.
AACGAACGCUGGCGGCAGGCCUAAUACAUGCAAGUCGAGCGCACUCUUCGGAGUGAGCGGCGGACGGGUGAGUAACGGGUGGGAACGUGCCCUUCACUAAGGAAUAGCCACUGGAAACGGUGAGUAAUGCCUUAUACGCCCUUUUGGGGAAAGAUUUAUCGGUGAAGGAUCGGCCCGCCUUAGAUUAGGUAGUUGGUGGGGUAAUGGCCUACCAAGCCUACGAUCUAUAGCUGGUUUGAGAGGAUGAUCAGCCACACUGGGACUGAGACACGGCCCAGACUCCUACGGGAGGCAGCAGUAGGGAAUCUUAGACAAUGGGCGCAAGCCUGAUCUAGCCAUGCCGCGUGUGUGACGAAGGCCUUAGGGUCGUAAAGCACUUUCGCCAGAGAUGAUAAUGACAGUAUCUGGUAAAGAAACCCCGGCUAACUCCG